GAUGAACGCUGGCGGCGUGCCUAAUACAUGCAAGUCGAGCGAACGGACGAGAAGCUUGCUUCUCUGAUGUUAGCGGCGGACGGGUGAGUAACACGUGGAUAACCUACCUAUAAGACUGGGAUAACCUCGGGAAACCGGAGCUAAUACCGGAUAAUAUUUUGAACCGCAUGGUUCAAAAGUGAAAGACGGUCUUGCUGUCACUUAUAGAUGGAUCCGCGCUGCAUUAGCUAGUUGGUAAGGUAACGACUUACCAAGGCAACGAUGCAUAGCCGACCUGAGAGGGUGAUCGGCCACACUGGAACUGAGACACGGUCCAGACUCCUACGGGAGGCAGCAGUAGGGAAUCUUCCGCAAUGGGCGAAAGCCUGACGGAGCAACGCCGCGUGAGUGAUGAAGGUCUUCGGAUCGUAAAACUCUGUUAUUAGGGAAGAACAUAUGUGUAAGUAACUGUGCACAUCUUGACGGUACCUAAUCAGAAAGCCACGGCUAACUACGU
RNAcentral lists this ribosomal RNA (496 nucleotides) under uncultured bacterium. RNAcentral's name for it is "partial 16S ribosomal RNA". It matches the Rfam family "Bacterial small subunit ribosomal RNA", at positions 28 to 506 of the family's 1533-position model. The record is from RNAcentral.